CAUCUCAAUAGUUAAUAUCCUGUAUGUGGCCUUAUACUGAUAAUAACGUGUAGUAUGCACCGGGCUUUAUACUUUUUGGUUGUUGUGUUUAUGGUCAUUUUAGUUUUAUAUAGAGAACUGUCAGAUUUUGGCGGAAUGCCGUCGACCGAUAUUAUGUACGAUUUGAUCUUAGUUAAUACGGUGUAUCGAUGUAAUAAAAGAAAUAUUAACUGGAUGCAGUGGUUUGUAUGAUAAACCCCAUUUACUGAGCUUUAAAUCAAUGGACUUCUACAUCUCAGAAAGCGGGAUUAUGAAUUCAAAUGCCCACAUAGAUAUUGGAUGCACUUAAUUUAUUUUCACUUGUAUAGAGGUGCAUAAAAAUGUAAGUUGCUUGGUCUUUUAAAUGUUUGUUUCAUAGUCGAAACAGUUGAGUUGAUAGUAUUUUAAUGAUACAAGAUUUCAUUAGCUUGUUUGUUUUGCUCGCUAAAGAGAACGAUUGACAGUUCGUUUCGUUUGCAUAAAUCAAAAGUUUUGUUUUAAAUUUUCAAUGUACUGUACAUAGUUACAUACAUUUGCUAUGGUAUUGACCUAUUUAUUAACCCGUGUUCUUGUCAUUGUUUGUUUUCGGUUUUGUGAGAUGAGACGGAAUACAAUGAGAGUAGAUCUCGAAAAUGCAAGCGCAAUCAAUCAACCAUCAACUUUCUGGUGAGACAAGAGCCAUACUUAAGAGCCUGUGACAUGGUUAUGAAGGAAGGCAAUGCGGUAAGGAUGGCAUUGUGCAGUGCAAGUGCUCAGUGAAUCUAGUUAUUAACACUGAGUUAUAUAAUGACAUUCUUUGAUGAUAAUCGAGGGUCUCGCAGCAAGAGCUGACUAAAGCAAAGAAGGUUAAGCUAUUACAUGGUGCUGUCAGCAGUGGGGCAGGGUCCAAGCUGCCGAUGGCCAGGGCCGCUGAGUGAGAAACCGGCGUACUAUACACGCCGUGUCCAGGAUAUAGCAAUCUGCAUCUGACCAGCGAGAGUCUCUGAGUGUUGGGUUGGUUGGGUUGGUCAGUUUGGCAGACUGUCUAGUACAGGCCGUAAUGGCAGACUGUCUAGAGCAGGCCAUGACUGUUUAUUAUGUUAGUUUAUACUUUGGCUGACUAUCUAGAGCAGGCCCUGAUGGCAGACUGUCCACAGGCCAUAAGUAGGUAUAUAUGCUGUUAAGGUACUUGUAAUAUGAGAUACUUGUAAUUUGUUUGGAUUGAUAUUUGCGGUUAGUUGUAUUUUAUAAUUGUUGAUGUGUUUUUUUUUAAAUUGUAUGCAAAUUCCAUGUUGACGUGUAAAAGUGCCCUUGUGGCCUAUUUGCUGAAUAAAUGUUGAAAUUGAAGAAGUUGGCCUUGUUGCCUGAUUCAUUAUAUUCGUUUAUACUUUGACAAACUGCCCAGAGUAGGCCUUGAAGGCAGACUGUCUAGAACAGGCUAUGAUAGCAGCCUGUCUUCUAGAGCAGGCCGUGAUGACAGACUGUCUAGACUAAUCUAGUCUGAAGCAGGCCAUAACAAAUUAAAUCAGUACAAUGAUUAGGUGUGAGGUUUGGCAGACUGUCUAGAACAGGCUAUGAUAGCAGCCUGUCUUCUAGAGCAGGCCGUGAUGGCAGACUGUCUAGACGAAUCUAGUCUAGAGCAGGCCAUAACAAAUUAAAUCAUUACAAUGAUUAGGUGUGAGGUUUGGCAGACUGUCUAGAACAGGCUAUGAUAGCAGCCUGUCUUCUAGAGCAGGCCGUUGUGGCAGACUGUCUAGACUAAUCUAGUCUAGAGCAGGCCCUAACAAAUUAAAUCAUUAAAAUGAUUAGGUGUGAGUUUUGGCAGACUGUCUAGAACAGGCUUUGAUAGCAGCUUGUCUUUUAGAGCAGGCCGUGAUGGCAGACUGUCUAGACCAGUCAAGUCUAGAGCAGGCUAUAACAAUUUAUACUUUGGAAUGAUGUCUAGAGCAGGCCUUGAAGGCAGACUGUGAUUUUUGAUGUUGAUUUAUACUUUGCCAAACUGUUUAGAGCAGGCCUUGAGGGCAGACUGUGAUUGUUUGUGGUUAUGUAUUAUAUUUUGCCAAACUGUUUAGAGCAGGCCUUAAGGGCAGACUGUGAUUGCUUCUGAUCAUGUUAUAUACUUUUUCAAACUGUUUAGAGCAGGCCUUGAGGCAGACUGUGAUUGUUUAUGAUCAUGUAUUUAUACUUUGCCAGACUGUUUAGAGCAGGCCUUGAGUGCAGACUGUGAUUGUUUAUGAUCAUGUAUUAUACUUUGUCCAACUGUUUAGAGCAGGCCUUGAGUGCAGACUGUGAUUGUUUAUGAUCAUGUAUUAUAUUUUGCCCAACUGUUUAGAGCAGGCCUUGAGUGCAGACUGUGAUUGUUUAUGAUCAUAUAUUAUACUUUGCCAAACUGUUUAGAGCAGGCCUUGUGUGCAGACUGUGAUUGUUUAUGAUCAUGUAGUAUACUUUGCCAAACUAUUUAGAGCAGGCCUUGAGUGCCGAUUGUGAUUGUUUACGAUCAUGUAUUAUACUUUGCCAAAUUGUUUAGAUCAGGCCUUGAGGGCAGACUGUGAUCGUUGAGGUUGGUUUAUACUUUGGCAGACUGCCUAGAGCAGACCAUGAUUGUAAGUUAGUUCAUAUAUUGAAAGACUAUCUAAAGAAGGCUGUUAAUGCUACCAGGUGUUGGUUGUAUUCAAUGACUGUUUACAUGAUCUCAGAUUCAAGCAUGUUAAGCGUUAAGAUUUAUUUCCCAAUAAGGCUAAAGGUUAUUAUUGGCUAUGAUUGAUUCAUGUGAGCCCAUACUGUGUAGAAGUUUACAAAUACUGUUGUUGUGAAUGUUUAUCUUUGAUAUCGAUAAAGGUGUAAGGAUAUAUUGCUGUUGUUAUUAAUGUUUAUAAUUACUUUUAGUGAGAGGGCUCACUUUAAAAAAAAAAGGAUGGCCGAAGCUGUAAGCAUCUCAAUAGUUAAUAUCCUGUAUGUGGCCUUAUACUGAUAAUAACGUGUAGUAUGCACCGGGCUUUAUACUUUUUGGUUGUUGUGUUUAUGGUCAUUUUAGUUUUAUAUAGAGAACUGUCAGAUUUUGGCGGAAUGCCGUCGACCGAUAUUAUGUACGAUUUGAUCUUAGUUAAUACGGUGUAUCGAUGUAAUAAAAGAAAUAUUAACUGGA
Molecule: long non-coding RNA, 3142 nt
Organism: Cydia pomonella (codling moth)
Lineage: Eukaryota; Metazoa; Arthropoda; Insecta; Lepidoptera; Tortricidae
Exons: 2
Source: RefSeq, a predicted model, not a curated record